Molecule: ribosomal RNA, 441 nt
Filed under: uncultured bacterium
Lineage: Bacteria
Description: partial 16S ribosomal RNA
Rfam family: Bacterial small subunit ribosomal RNA
Source: RNAcentral
CCUACGGGAGGCAGCAGUGGGGAAUAUUGCACAAUGGGGGGAACCCUGAUGCAGCGACGCCGCGUGGGUGAAGGAGUAUUUCGGUAUGUAAAGCCCUAUCAGCAGGGAAGAACAAUGACGGUACCUGACUAAGAAGCACCGGCUAAAUACGUGCCAGCAGCCGCGGUAAUACGUAUGGUGCAAGCGUUAUCCGGAUUUACUGGGGGUAAAGGGAGCGCAGGCGGCGCGUUAAGCCUGGUGUGAAAGUCCGCGGCCCAACCGCGGGACUGCAUUGGGAGCUGGCGCGCUGGAGUGCCGGAGGGGUAGGCGGAAUUCCUAGUGUAGCGGUGAAAUGCGUAGAUAUUAGGAGUAACACCAGUGGCGAAGGCGGCCUACUGGACGGUGACUGACGCUGAGGCUCGAAAGCGUGGGGAGCAAACAGGAUUAGAUACCCUGGUAGUC